Molecule: transfer RNA, 63 nt
Filed under: Heterocephalus glaber (naked mole-rat)
Lineage: Eukaryota; Metazoa; Chordata; Mammalia; Rodentia; Bathyergidae
Rfam family: tRNA
About the family: Transfer RNA (tRNA) molecules are approximately 80 nucleotides in length. Their secondary structure includes four short double-helical elements and three loops (D, anti-codon, and T loops).
Source: Rfam by way of RNAcentral
GGGAAUGUAGCUCAGUGGUAGAGCACUUGCCUAGCAUGUGUGAGGCCCUGGUUUCCAUUCUCA